Molecule: ribosomal RNA, 479 nt
Filed under: uncultured bacterium
Lineage: Bacteria
Description: partial 16S ribosomal RNA
Rfam family: Bacterial small subunit ribosomal RNA
Source: RNAcentral
GAUGAACGCUGGCGGCGUGCUUAACACAUGCAAGUCGAACGAUUAAAGCUCUCUUCGGAGAGUGUAUAAAGUGGCGAACGGGUGAGUAACACGUGGGCAAUCUGCCCCUCACACUGGAUAACCCGAGGAAACUCGAGCUAAUACCGGAUACUCCUUACUGACCGCAUGGUCGGUUCGGGAAAGCUCCGGCGGUGAGGGAUGAGCCCGCGGCCCAUUAGCUUGUUGGGGGGGUAAUGGCCCACCAAGGCAACGAUGGGUAGCCGACCUGAGAGGGUGAUCGGCCACACUGGGACUGAGACACGGCCCAGACUCCUACGGGAGGCAGCAGUGGGGAAUCUUGCACAAUGGGCGAAAGCCUGAUGCAGCAACGCCGCGUGCGGGAUGAAGGCCUUCGGGUUGUAAACCGCUUUCAGCAGGGAUGAGAUUGACAGUACCUGCAGAAGAAGCCCCGGCUAACUACGUGCCAGCAGCCGCCGUAA